GGCGGCGUGCUUAACACAUGCAAGUCGAGCGGAAAGGCCCUUUCGGGGGUACUCGAGCGGCGAACGGGUGAGUAACACGUGAGUAAUCUGCCCUGUACUCUGGGAUAGCCUUGGGAAACUGAGAUUAAUACCGGAUAUGACAUAUGCUCGCAUGGGUGUGUGUGGAAAGUUUUUUCGGUACAGGAUGUGCUCGCGGCCUAUCAGCUUGAUGGUGGGGUAAUGGCCUACCAUGGCUUCGACGGGUAGCCGGCCUGAGAGGGUGACCGGCCACACUGGGACUGAGACACGGCCCAGACUCCUACGGGAGGCAGCAGUGGGGAAUAUUGGACAAUGGGCGGAAGCCUGAUCCAGCAGCGCCGCGUGAGGGAUGACGGCCUUCGGGUUGUAAACCUCUUUCAGCACAGACGAAGCUGAUCCUUUUUGGGGUGGGUGACGGUAUGUGCAGAAGAAGGACCGGCCAACUACGUGCCAGCAGCCGCGAUAAUACGUAGGGUCCGAGCGUUAUCCGGAAUUAUUGGGCGUAAA
RNAcentral lists this ribosomal RNA (525 nucleotides) under uncultured Actinomycetes bacterium. RNAcentral's name for it is "bacterial SSU rRNA". It matches the Rfam family "Bacterial small subunit ribosomal RNA", at positions 38 to 564 of the family's 1533-position model. The record is from RNAcentral. Lineage: Bacteria; Bacillati; Actinomycetota; Actinomycetes.